AGUUUUAGAAUUUCAGCUCUUACUUAAGGUCUUUGCUCUAUUUUGAAUUGAUUUCUAUACACUGUGAGAGAUAUGGAUUUAUUUUUAUCCUUCAAUAUGUGAGUGUCUCGUUUGCCCACACCAUUUAUUGAAGAAGCUGUGUUUUUCCCAGUGCCAGCUCCUUGCUGACAGGUCCAGGAGAGAGGAGAGAGGUCCGGACCCCAUCUCUCUGAGACUGAGCAGGAUGGCGAGUGUCAAUGGCCCAAAAGAAACACACUCAACUUUAUGGCAUCAGCCUCUUGAUUAUAUAAGGUCGGAGCAUAGGGAGGGGGAGUUUUGGUGAGGUUAACUAAAGGGCACCGAACGAGUAAAGCUGUGCUGAAAAGAACAGUGGCCAAGGCAAGGAUAUUCUUAUACCACAAACAGUCAUGCAGAUGGAAGUCUGGCCAACAAAACCAUAAAGCAUCAUGUCUCACUGUGACUCAAUCUGUCAGCUCAAGUACAAGCCUUGAGGAUGCAAGUUCUUCUGCAUUCCCAAAUGCUUCCUUCCUUUUGUCUCCAGUUAAAGACAUUUACCACUUUCUGGGAAGGAUUUCAACUUCAACUUUUCAUGAAAUACGAUGAGAGGUCGACUCAUGAUGGACUCAUCAGAAAUAACUGGAGGUGGGAUCGAGCAAUGUCAUCACCAAUAGGUUGUGCAGCAACAAUUACUUGGAGCAACAGAGAACCACGGGACAGCAGAGACCAUAUCUCCAACCAUUGAUUGCCCUUCAGGUAAACCAGGAAGUAGGAGUAACUGGACCACUGCCCCUACCUCAUGGUAGUUGGAAAGGGAAAAAUUGAACUUACCAUAUAGAGAAAAAUUUGGUAGCUUAAGUGGUCAUUUCACUCAGUAAUUCGAGUGCCUGUUGAGAUGUGUGUACAAGCUCAGACAGUCUUCGCUGAGCUGUGUCCAGACUACUAAAAAGCCGAUGAAGCACAUUCUUUAUUCUGCUACAAGGCAAAUGUGGAAAUGUUUGUUUUGAUGAAAACCCAGUUAGCUGCUUUAUAAAUGUACGAUGAAGGCAAAUUUAACUGGCUGGGAUUGAAUGAAGCCACAGCGAAACAAUGAGAGUGGUUGCAGGAUUCUAGGAAUUUUUGUAUUUGAACAAAUAAAAAGAUAAACCUGUAUUGUGUUCCCAGGGUGGCUACUGUAGGUUUUAAAUAAAUUAAUGUAGAUAAAGCCCGCUUUUCUGGUGUCUUGUUUUGUGACCAAUGAAGACUGCAUCUGGACUAGGAAUGAAGGCAUGUGUCCACUUACCUUUUCAGCUCUAGGCCCCUUUCUGGUACAGACACAAAACAUAUUGCCUCAAGUCUCGGUGAGUUCACAUAUGUAUUAAUUCUGAUGAAUUAGAGAACAUAACUUUCUGGGUGUUCUCCAGCCUUUCUGACCCUUAUGUCUGGAAAAAGGAUUUGUAGUAGUUCAUAACUUGAACAGAAACAAAAGAUCUCUCUGCUGUGUUAUAGACAAGAUUGUAUAAACAGUCUAAUAAAAUGGGAAAUAAAUAGGAUAGGUUUGACUUAGUGUUGGACAUAUUCAGAAGUUGAAGCUGUCCUUUAAAAUGUAAACCUUCACUGUAGUAUAUAUUCACACUUAGAUAACUUUGAUAAAGUAUUAGAACUGUGACACAUUAUAGACUUUCCUUUUACUGUUAAUAAGAUUUAAGUUGUUUGCCCUAUAUAUUUUUUUCCUUAUUUCAGAUGCUGUUUUGGUUUCUUGUGCAUAUAUUUAAAUCUUUUUUUUUUUUUUCUGUGUUUAAACCACUAGGUUGAUGGAUGUGUUGUAUUUGCUUUAGUAGAUAUUCUUAAUGUGCUACCAAUUUGGCCACAUGCACACACAACUCACUCACUCACUCACUCACUCACUGAAUUUAGUGUCCCCCACCCUUAUCCCCUGCAGUUCACAUCUUGGAGUCAUAAUCAAGUCAGUGCCUUCGUAAGAGGAGGCAGAGACAUCAGAAUUCUCUUUCUGUCCCAGGUAAGGAUACAGUGACAAGUAACCUCCUAGUAAGCCAGGACAAGUCCUUUACUAAGAAACAAAGUGACUGGCAACUUUAUGCUGGACUUUCUGCCCUCCAGAAGUAAAUCAGAGCAACAAGUGGCAGUUUUCCAAGCAUUUUGAAGUAUUUUGUUUAAAGUAUUUUGUCAUGAUAUCUGAAGGUAACCAUUAUAGAAUAAUGUCACCUGCUGUAUGAAUUCUCUUAUUCUUUUAUGUACUUAUCAUCAUUUUGUGUUACAAAACAUUUAGAAAUGCUAUAUAGUAGCGCAUGAAAUACCAUUUUUAAAAAUCUUUUGGGCAUAUCGUCUGUGGAAACAGGAUCAGAUAUUCCUCUGUAUCAGAUGGUGACUUCGUGUAGGAAUACUCUGUUGAUCCUGGAGAAUGUUAUGCAUACACAGCGUUGGAUGAGUUCCCAAGGGAACCCACGCCAGCAAUGAGAGUGGUGGCCUCACACACAUGAUACUCCUGCACAUGUUUGCCUGAGCUUUGGAUUGUUUUGGGAGUGUGCUGGCAGAGCAAGGGAGGGUGAUGGAGUUAUGAAAUGUGGAAUAUAUGGCCCAGGCCCAAUCGGGCCCUGGGGUUAACUUUGGCUCAGCAGCUUGGCUCUGCCUUUAAUAUAUUUUCUUUCCCUAACAGCCUGGACUUGGCAGGUUGGGAGGGAGGAUGCGAGGCAUUGCCCCACUGUGGUGCAAAACUAUGGUGUGGACUCAAAAGAGCUCCUCUAACUAAACCUAGAGCCUAUAACUCAUGUGAAGCUUCUUUGUCACCAGACAUGUCAGCAUUUUUAGAAGAUGAUUUUCCAUUUUAGGGAAUAAAAGUGGCCAUUCAUCCCUUCUGAUUACUUUUCUCUUGUCUAUCAUACUUGCCUAGACUCCUGUCACACCAUUGCUGGGUUCUGGUGUCAUCUACCUCAAAAUGGCACCUUUUAAUUCUUCCUGGUUAUAUAUACUGAGUGCCAGUACAAGUAUGAAGUGCUUUUAUCCUACCAUAUUGCCAUAAAAAGUGUUGGUUUUAUUUUUCCUUUUGUAUUUUCCUGAUGACCAAGGUUGUUAGGUAUCCAGUAAUUAGUUAUUGAUU
Molecule: long non-coding RNA, 3094 nt
Filed under: Mus pahari (shrew mouse)
Lineage: Eukaryota; Metazoa; Chordata; Mammalia; Rodentia; Muridae
Description: lncRNA (MGP_PahariEiJ_G0005241.1)
Source: RNAcentral